AAACCUGAGAAACCCAAAAGAUCGAAUGGGGAGAUUCAUCGUCAGCGGCGUUGGCUUCCGUGUGGAUCGCGAUGGCCGGGACCUCGGUUCCGCGUCACGCGUCCGCUGCGGUAUGUCCGACGACGUCGGCGUGCACUUCUCCCCUAGUAGGACGUCGCGACCCGUUGGGUGCCGGCCUACGGCCCGGUUGGUAGACUGUCGCGUCGCGUUUACGCGUGUACACGUCAGACCACUGGUUGCCCGGCCGGCUGCCCGGCGGUAUAGAUCGCUAUAAAACGGUAUUGGGCCGCAUUAAGUGCGUUCAGGCUCGUCGGCAGGCUCGUCUCGCUCGGAUUUACGGACCUAGUGCCGUUGCCGGGCGCUUGGCGUGGCCGUUAGUCGACGAUGUCCUCGGACUGGCUCUUACAUUCGAACGGAUUUACCGGUCGGCGACGCUACUGCUUUGGGUACUUU
This 453-nucleotide ribosomal RNA is filed under the name Pteromalus bedeguaris. RNAcentral's name for it is "eukaryotic LSU rRNA". Lineage: Eukaryota; Metazoa; Arthropoda; Insecta; Hymenoptera; Pteromalidae. The record is from RNAcentral.